AUGUAUAUGUACCUACUCCCCCGUAAAAAGAAAACAAACAACGCACGCCCCCACGUCCUCUCGCCCCGCCCGCACGACCUCGACCUCUCCCUGCUCCUCCUCCCCCGCCGUUCGCCCUCUCCCGUUCCUCGCCGCUCCUCCCGAGCCUCCCGCCGCUCCUCCAUUCCUCCUGAGCCGCCCGCCACGCCCUUCGCCGCAGGAUCCCCUUCGUCGCGGGAACCGCCGUCGAGCCCGUCCGUCGCGCCCGAGCCGCCGCCGGAGCCGCCCUUCGCCGCGGCUCGCAGGUCGCCGAGCCGCCGCCCCGGAGCCGCCCUUCGCCGUGGUCCGCAGGUCACCGAGCCGCCGCCCCCGCCCUUCGACGCAGCCCGCAGGUUCCCCAGCCGCCAACGCACGCCCCCACGUCCUCCCGCCGCCCCGGAGCCGCAACGCGACGGGCCCAACCCGGAGAUCCACAACACUGGCGGGCUGAGCCGGCGGGGCUUCCCGGCGGGGUUCGUGUUCGGGACGGCCGCGUCGGCGUACCAGGUGGAGGGCAUGGCGAGGCAGGGCGGGCGCGGGCCCAGCAUCUGGGACGCCUUCGCAGCCAUACCGGGGACGAUCGCCGGCAAUGGCACCGCCGACGUGACGGUCGACGAGUACCAUAGGUACAAGGAGGAUGUGAGCAUAAUGAAGGAAAUGGGCUUCGACGCGUACCGGUUCUCGAUCUCCUGGUCGAAUAUUUACCCAGAUGGGACUGGGAAGGUGAACCAGGAAGGAGUGGACUACUACAGCAGGCUCAUAGAUUACAUGCUCCAGCAAGAUGAGCACUUGUUCACCUUUGUUGUAGCGCAGAGACUUGUUCCAGAUAUUUAA
Molecule: ribosomal RNA, 852 nt
Filed under: Triticum aestivum (bread wheat)
Lineage: Eukaryota; Viridiplantae; Streptophyta; Magnoliopsida; Poales; Poaceae
Description: partial small subunit ribosomal RNA
Source: RNAcentral